This 433-nucleotide ribosomal RNA is filed under the name uncultured bacterium. RNAcentral's name for it is "partial 16S ribosomal RNA". It matches the Rfam family "Bacterial small subunit ribosomal RNA", at positions 28 to 507 of the family's 1533-position model. The record is from RNAcentral.
GGUGAACGUUGGCGGUGCGUCUAAUACAUGCAAGUCGAGCGAGGCUUCGAGCCGUGUGGCAGACGGCUGAGUAACACGCUGGUAACUACCUCAAACUUAGCGAUAACGCCGCGUAAUCGGAGCUACUACCGGCUGGUGCCGUAAGGGGAUAGGAUUUCCGGUUUGAGAGGUGCCUGCGUCCUAUUAGGUAGUUGGUGAGGUAACGGCUCACGAAGCCUAUGACGGGUGACUGGUCUGAGAGGAUGACCAGUCAGAGGGAGACUGAGACACGGGUCCCACAUCUACGGAAGGCAGCAGUAAAGAAUCUUCCACAAUGGACGAAAGUCUGAUGGAGCGACACCGCGUGCAGGAUGAAGGCCCUUGGGUCGUAAACUGCUUUUUUGGGGGAAAAAUUCUGAGUGUACCCUAAGAAUAAGCACCGGCAAAUCACGUG